RNAcentral lists this ribosomal RNA (442 nucleotides) under uncultured bacterium. RNAcentral's name for it is "partial 16S ribosomal RNA". It matches the Rfam family "Bacterial small subunit ribosomal RNA", at positions 338 to 795 of the family's 1533-position model. The record is from RNAcentral.
CCUACGGGGAGCAGCAGUGGGGGAUAUUGGACAAUGGGGGAACCCUGAUACAGCGACGCCGCGUGAGUGGAGAAGUAUUUUGGUAUGUAAAGCUCUGUCAGCAGGGAAGAAAGAAAUGACGGUACCUGACCAAGAAGCCCCGGCUAACUACGUGCCAGAAGCAGGGGUAAUACGUAGGGGGCAAGCGUUAUCCGGAAUUACUGGGUGGAAAGGGAGGGUAGACGGUUAAGUAAGUGUGGAGUGAAAGGCCGGGGCACAACCCCGUGACUGCUCUGGAAACUAUUGAACUUGAGUGCAGGAGAGGGAAGCGGAAUUCCUAGUGUAGCGGUGAAAUGCGUAGAUAUUAGGAGGAACACCAGUGGCGAAGGCGGCUGACUGGACUGUAACUGACGUUGAGGCUCGAAAGCGUGGGGAGCAAACAGGAUUAGAUACCCUGGUAGUC